This 21-nucleotide small nuclear RNA is filed under the name Arabidopsis thaliana (thale cress). RNAcentral's name for it is "snRNA_06553". Lineage: Eukaryota; Viridiplantae; Streptophyta; Magnoliopsida; Brassicales; Brassicaceae. The record is from RNAcentral.
UGGCUCACCAUCAAUCGAUGA